Molecule: ribosomal RNA, 73 nt
Filed under: Urosaurus gadovi
Lineage: Eukaryota; Metazoa; Chordata; Lepidosauria; Squamata; Phrynosomatidae
Description: partial 16S ribosomal RNA
Source: RNAcentral
GUCCUUAACCAUAAGGCUUAAAAAAACUUAAGCCUAAAACAUAACCACUAACCAUCCGUAUAUAACGGAAUUA